This 73-nucleotide transfer RNA is filed under the name Candidatus Beckwithbacteria bacterium. Its description in RNAcentral is "tRNA-Ala". It matches the Rfam family "tRNA". From Rfam's summary of the family: Transfer RNA (tRNA) molecules are approximately 80 nucleotides in length. Their secondary structure includes four short double-helical elements and three loops (D, anti-codon, and T loops). The record is from RNAcentral. Lineage: Bacteria; Candidatus Beckwithiibacteriota.
GGGCCUGUAGCUCAGUUGGUAGAGCGCUUGUAUGGCAUACAAGAGGUAAGGGGUUCGAUCCCCCUCAGGUCCA